CUGAAUUCUCAGGGCGGGGCGCAAUUCCCCACCGGCGGUAAUUCAGAGCACUCAAUAGUGAGUUAACUGAAAAGCCCGCGAGCGCUUAUCUUUUUUAUAAUGAUAAGGUCAGCAGAUCUGGUGUAAUACUUCCUGUCAGUAUGAGUCCAGAGCCGACGGUUAUAGUCCGGAUGAAAGAGGAUCAGU
RNAcentral lists this non-coding RNA (186 nucleotides) under Photobacterium profundum. RNAcentral describes it as "FMN sequence". It matches the Rfam family "FMN riboswitch aptamer (RFN element)". Rfam says of the family: The RFN element is a highly conserved domain that is found frequently in the 5'-untranslated regions of prokaryotic mRNAs that encode for flavin mononucleotide (FMN) biosynthesis and transport proteins. This element is a metabolite-dependent riboswitch that directly binds FMN in the absence of proteins. The record is from RNAcentral. RNAcentral also lists the same sequence under 1 other name. Lineage: Bacteria; Pseudomonadati; Pseudomonadota; Gammaproteobacteria; Vibrionales; Vibrionaceae.